UACGUAGGGACCGAGCGUUGUCCGGAUUCAUUGGGCGUAAAGAGCUCGUAGGCGGCUGCUCAAGUCGAAUGUGAAAACUCGAGGCUCAACCUCGAGCCUGCAUUCGAUACUGGGCGGCUAGAGUCUGGUAGGGGGAUCUGGAAUUCCUGGUGUAGCGGUGAAAUGCGCAGAUAUCAGGAGGAACACCAAUUGCGAAGGCAGCUCGCUGGGACGUUACUGACGCUGAGACGCGAAAGCGUGGGGAGCAAACAGG
This 253-nucleotide ribosomal RNA is filed under the name uncultured bacterium. Its description in RNAcentral is "partial 16S ribosomal RNA". It matches the Rfam family "Bacterial small subunit ribosomal RNA", at positions 524 to 776 of the family's 1533-position model. The record is from RNAcentral.